This 468-nucleotide ribosomal RNA is filed under the name uncultured bacterium. Its description in RNAcentral is "partial 16S ribosomal RNA". It matches the Rfam family "Bacterial small subunit ribosomal RNA", at positions 28 to 507 of the family's 1533-position model. The record is from RNAcentral.
GACGAACGCUGGCGGCGUGCUUAACACAUGCAAGUCGAACGGAAAGGCCCUGCUUUUGUGGGGUGCUCGAGUGGCGAACGGGUGAGUAACACGUGAGUAACCUGCCCUUGACUUUGGGAUAACUUCAGGAAACUGGGGCUAAUACCGGAUAGGAGCUCCUGCUGCAUGGUGGAGGUUGGAAAGUUUCGGCGGUUGGGGAUGGACUCGCGGCUUAUCAGCUUGUUGGUGAGGUAGUGGCUUACCAAGGCUUUGACGGGUAGCCGGCCUGAGAGGGUGACCGGCCACAUUGGGCCUGAGAUACGGCCCAGACGCCUACGGGAGGCAGCAGUGGGAAAUAUUGCACAAUGGGCGGAAGCCUGAUGCAGCAACGCCGCGUGCGGGAUGACGGCCUUCGGGUUGUAAACCGCUUUCGCCUGUGACGAAGCGUGAGUGACGGUAAUGGGUAAAGAAGCACCGGCUAACUACGUG